Molecule: ribosomal RNA, 319 nt
Filed under: uncultured marine eukaryote
Lineage: Eukaryota
Description: SSU rRNA
Rfam family: Eukaryotic small subunit ribosomal RNA
Source: RNAcentral
AUAGGGACAGUUGGGGGCAUCAGUAUUCUGAAGCGAGAGGUGAAAUUCUUGGACCUUCGGAAGACUAACAACUGCGAAAGCAUUUGCCUAGGAUGUUCUCUUUAAUCAAGAACGAAAGUUGGGGGAUCGAAGACGAUCAGAUACCGUCGUAGUCUCAACUAUAAACUAUACCAGCUAGGGAUUGGUGGACGUUUAUCUACGACUCCAUCAGCACCUUAUGAGAAAUCAAAGCAUUUGGGUUCCGGGGGGAGUAUGGUCGCAAGGCUGAAACUUAAAGGAAUUGACGGGAGGGCACCACCAGGAGUGGAGCCCUGUGGCU